UCAAACAGGCCACAAAUGUUGCAGUGA
Molecule: non-coding RNA, 27 nt
Filed under: Macaca fascicularis (crab-eating macaque)
Lineage: Eukaryota; Metazoa; Chordata; Mammalia; Primates; Cercopithecidae
Also listed under: 1 other name
Source: RNAcentral